This 482-nucleotide ribosomal RNA is filed under the name uncultured bacterium. RNAcentral's name for it is "partial 16S ribosomal RNA". It matches the Rfam family "Bacterial small subunit ribosomal RNA", at positions 30 to 507 of the family's 1533-position model. The record is from RNAcentral.
AUUGAACGCUGGCGGCAUGCUUUACACAUGCAAGUCGAACGGUAACAUCACUUCGUUGGCUGACGAGUGGCGAACGGGUGAGUAAUACAUCGGAACGUGCCUAGUAGUGUGGGAUAACUACUCGAAAGAGUAGCUAAUACCGCAUGCGAUCUAAGGAUUAGAGCAGGAGACCUUCGGACCUUGCGCUACUAGUGCGGCUGGUGGCAGAUUAGGUAGUUGGUGGGUUAAAAGCUUACCAAGCCGACGAUCUGUAGCUGGUCUGAGAGGACGAGCAGCCACACUGGAACUGAGACACGGCCCAGACUCCUACGGGAGGCAGCAGUGGGGAAUCUUGGACAAUGGGCGCAAGCCUGAUGCAGCAAUGCCGCGUGAAGGAUGAAGGCCUUCGGAUUGUAAAAUGCUUUUGUAAGGAACGAAAAGCUGUGUACUAAUACAGGAGCGUCAUGACGGUACCGAAAGAGUAAGCCCCGGCUAACUACGUG